Molecule: long non-coding RNA, 694 nt
Filed under: Homo sapiens (human)
Lineage: Eukaryota; Metazoa; Chordata; Mammalia; Primates; Hominidae
Description: HSALNT0221068
Source: RNAcentral
CGUGAAGGUGCUUUGAUGUGACCAGGAGAACAGAAGGAUAUUUUGUGCAUAGCUGACCGUGAGAGGAAUGCUGGUUUUGCAAUGAGGAAGCACAGGAAGAUGACAGAACAAUGAGCAUAAGACAUGCUGGGUGCAUUUUUUGGACCUUACCACAUCUUGUUUGAGAGAAGUGGGACCAAUGCUGAUGAAACUCUUUCCCAUGGUGUGUUCUAUAUUCAUUGGAUGGGCAUCGCCUACGGCUGGAGCAGGGCUGAGCUCUGUACUGGUGUCUCUUAAAACACACCAGACAGCAACAGCUGAGAUACCUACUACCUGGAUCUGCUUGAUUAGAUCAUACGGUCAUAUUUGAUUACUUAGAAUGGGUAAGGAAAAAUACCAUUCCAAGGUCAAUUUAAUGGCCUAGAUCUUCCUUCCUAAAACUGGAAGGUGAAUCUCUGCCUCUUAAAUCUAUAGGUCUUUCUGGGGGCAAGACUUCUGACUAUUCUGAUAUCUCCUUGGAAUCUAUGGAAAUCUCAUUAUUUUUGUUCACUCACAUAAAGGAGUAGUUACCCCAGGAAUGGAUACCUCCUGAUGCUCUAUGCUUAGGAGAAAAGGCUAAGUCUUUCUAAUGAAUAUCAACAUCUUGACCUGCCAGGUUCACCAGCAUGAGGCUCUCUCCUGUGCCUAAGUCCUACAACUGAGACAAAGCCCUAGG